AUUGAACGCUGGCGGCAUGCCUUACACAUGCAAGUCGAACGGUAACAGGUCUUCGGAUGCUGACGAGUGGCGAACGGGUGAGUAAUACAUCGGAACGUGCCUAGUAGUGGGGGGAUAACUACUCGAAAGAGUGGCUAAUACCGCAUGAGAUCUACGAUGAAAGCAGGGGAUCGCAAGACCUUGUGCUACUAGAGCGGCCGAUGGCAGAUUAGGUAGUUGGUGGGAUAAAAGCUUACCAAGCCGACGAUCUGUAGCUGGUCUGAGAGGACGAUCAGCCACACUGGGGCUGAGACACGGCCCAGACUCCUACGGGAGGCAGCAGUGGGGAAUUUUGGACAAUGGGCGAAAGCCUGAUCCAGCAAUGCCGCGUGCAGGAUGAAGGCCUUCGGGUUGUAAACUGCUUUUGUACGGAACGAAAAGCCCUGGGUUAAUACCCUGGGGUCAUGACGGUACCGUAAGAAUAAGCACCGGCUAACUACGUGCCAGCCGCCGCCGUAA
This 498-nucleotide ribosomal RNA is filed under the name uncultured bacterium. RNAcentral describes it as "partial 16S ribosomal RNA". It matches the Rfam family "Bacterial small subunit ribosomal RNA", at positions 30 to 523 of the family's 1533-position model. The record is from RNAcentral.